Mytilus trossulus (common blue mussel) is the source of this 139-nucleotide small nuclear RNA. RefSeq annotates it as U4 spliceosomal RNA. The record is from RefSeq and is a predicted model, not a curated record. NCBI's taxonomy places the organism in Eukaryota, Metazoa, Mollusca, Bivalvia, Mytilida, Mytilidae. The transcript has a single exon.
AAUAAAGUGUUUGAAAUAUAAAAAAAAAAAAAAGGUUUAUCCGAGGCGUGGUUAUUGCUAGUUGAAAACUAUACCCAAUACCCCGCGCUGAUGCCUGAAAUACGGCAGCAGUCGCAAUUUCUAAACGCCUCUACGGAGG